This 65-nucleotide transfer RNA is filed under the name Rhinebothrium taeniuri. RNAcentral's name for it is "tRNA-Leu". Lineage: Eukaryota; Metazoa; Platyhelminthes; Cestoda; Rhinebothriidea; Rhinebothriidae. The record is from RNAcentral.
GUGGUUAUGUCAGAAUAUUAUGAGUUAGCUUUAAGCGCUAGUUAUGGGGUUAUCCCCUAAUCACU